AAGUCGUAACAAGGUUUUCGUAGGUGAACCUGCGAAAGGAUCAUUAGUGAAACAUAAGAGUGCGCUUCAUUGCGGCUCGUUUAACUAUCCAUAACACUUGUGAAUUGGAAUUGAUAACACCCUUACCUUUUAAAGGCUUCGGUCUUGAACGGGUAUUGGUUUAUAUAUAACCCUGUUGCCUUUUGAAAAGACGGACAUGUUGAAAUUUGAAAAAUGAAAGAACAA
RNAcentral lists this unclassified non-coding RNA (225 nucleotides) under plant metagenome. RNAcentral describes it as "partial contains small subunit ribosomal RNA and internal transcribed spacer 1". The stretch from base 1 to 46 matches the Rfam family "Eukaryotic small subunit ribosomal RNA", at positions 1786 to 1831 of the family's 1831-position model. The record is from RNAcentral.